AGCCAAAUCACAGAACCACCUCCCUCUCCCUGACCAUCCUGCUGACACUGUUCAAGGGUUUAUAUGAACAGGUAGAGGUAGAUGCCUUCAUUGCCUUCACUCUCACAUUAAAAAGUUCUAGCCCCUGCCAAUUACAAAAGUCAGACUUGGCCCAUUUCUCUUUGGCACAGAGAAUGAGGAAAGUCGGCCCAUCUAAAUUCCAGCCUUUACAAACAGCUAUAGGAUAGCAACUAACGCAGAGUCAAACUAUAUAAAUGGAGACAAUGAGGACAGUUCCUGGAACUUUGACUUUUGAGCAAUUGUGGUUGGAGUGAUCAGAAGUUUAAUGAACCCAGAAGCCUUGAUUCAGAAACUUACCAGCAUGAAAUAAACAGCUCAGGCCCAGCUGCAGCCCUGGAAAUUGGCUGAGAGCACUUCCAAAGUGCAAACCAUGUGUUCAGUGAGAAAAGUACUCAAUGCUGAGACAAAGAAAAGUAAUCCUUCCUUGGACCAGUUUGCCACACAUCAGGUAGACGGUGAUGGCUCCUGGAUGAAGCCCUGACCCUGGAGUCCACUGGCCCUUCCUCUUGGUUUCUAGGAACACACUUCACAAGGCCAAAGAAAGGGAUUGCUGCUCAGUGGCCUUUCUUAAGAGAAAGCCUCUACAAACCAUGAGAGACUCUUGAAUGCUGAGAACAA
This is a long non-coding RNA of Hyaena hyaena (striped hyena), 678 nucleotides long. RefSeq lists it as uncharacterized. The record is from RefSeq and is a predicted model, not a curated record. NCBI's taxonomy places the organism in Eukaryota, Metazoa, Chordata, Mammalia, Carnivora, Hyaenidae. The transcript is spliced from 3 exons.